GAAACAACAAGAAAUGGCGAAUAUAUCUAUGUGGAUUUGUGCCAGUAAGAGUCCUAACUAAUUCAGUUGUCUCAAAUCUCUUAAUUUUUUCUUAAUUAUUCAUCUUCUUCUUUUAUUCAGAAAUAUACAAAUUAUCAUAGUUACAAGAGAUUCAUCUGUUCGUACCUUGAAGGUAAACUGAAUCUCACACGGUGUUUUGACAAUUAGGCUUAUAAAAGGACAUAGGUCCGGUGACAUGGUGCUCUCACUGAUCAGAAUUGUGCAAGAGACAAGGGCGGGUCAAGGUUUUACAUAUCAGAUUUUCUUCCUCCAUACACCUAUGCUUCAAAAGAGAAUGAUUCAAUGAUUAAUGACAAUAGAAGAGAAAUCGCUCGGAUUGUGCGCGAACAUGGCCAAGAGCUUGACGAUUAAUGAAGAACAAGAAGGCCUCUUUGAUCUUAGAAGGUUAACUAAAUGCAUCAAGAUAUUUUGGUUUACCUCUUCUAUUACUAUUUUACAAAGUGAAAAUAAAAUAGAAACUUGAGUUUAAAUAUAGACUUUUAGUAUGAAAAAUAUAUAAAUGGUUUGUUCAUGUUACUAAUUAUCCGUUCAUGUGUUAAUAAACUCAUUAUCUUCUAAAGAUAUUAGGUAAGGAGAGUUUAGUUGCUUCAUUUGCAUAAUCUUAUUACAAGAUUGAUAGCUAUAUUUCUGAAUAGCGUUUAAACAGGAAAGAAGAUCGAGAAUACUUAUAUUAUAUAACUUUUCUCUCCAUGAAAUA
This is a long non-coding RNA of Lycium barbarum (goji berry), 757 nucleotides long. RefSeq lists it as uncharacterized. Lineage: Eukaryota; Viridiplantae; Streptophyta; Magnoliopsida; Solanales; Solanaceae. The transcript has 4 exons. The record is from RefSeq and is a predicted model, not a curated record.